Molecule: ribosomal RNA, 3007 nt
Filed under: Salmonella enterica
Lineage: Bacteria; Pseudomonadati; Pseudomonadota; Gammaproteobacteria; Enterobacterales; Enterobacteriaceae
Description: 23S ribosomal RNA
Rfam family: Bacterial large subunit ribosomal RNA
Source: RNAcentral
GGUUAAGCGACUAAGCGUACACGGUGGAUGCCCUGGCAGUCAGAGGCGAUGAAGGGCGUGCUAAUCUGCGAUAAGCGCCGGUAAGGUGAUAUGAACCGUUAUAACCGGCGAUACCCGAAUGGGGAAACCCAGUGUGACUCGUCACACUAUCAUUAACUGAAUCCAUAGGUUAAUGAGGCGAACCGGGGGAACUGAAACAUCUAAGUACCCCGAGGAAAAGAAAUCAACCGAGAUUCCCCCAGUAGCGGCGAGCGAACGGGGAGGAGCCCAGAGCCUGAAUCAGCAUGUGUGUUAGUGGAAGCGUCUGGAAAGGCGCGCGAUACAGGGUGACAGCCCCGUACACAAAAGCGCAUGUGCUGUGAGCUCGAUGAGUAGGGCGGGACACGUGGUAUCCUGUCUGAAUAUGGGGGGACCAUCCUCCAAGGCUAAAUACUCCUGACUGACCGAUAGUGAACCAGUACCGUGAGGGAAAGGCGAAAAGAACCCCGGCGAGGGGAGUGAAAAAGAACCUGAAACCGUGUACGUACAAGCAGUGGGAGCCCCACCACUAAGCCAGUGGUGAACUCCACAUACGCAUCCUUUGCUGAGGAUACGGUUAACGGAGCGAAAGCGACGUUCAACCUCAAAAGAAGCAGAGGGGGCUUAGUGGUGGGGUGACUGCGUACCUUUUGUAUAAUGGGUCAGCGACUUAUAUUCUGUAGCAAGGUUAACCGAAUAGGGGAGCCGGAGGGAAACCGAGUCUUAAUUGGGCGUUAAGUUGCAGGGUAUAGACCCGAAACCCGGUGAUCUAGCCAUGGGCAGGUUGAAGGUUGGGUAACACUAACUGGAGGACCGAACCGACUAAUGUUGAAAAAUUAGCGGAUGACCUGUGGCUGGGGGUGAAAGGCCAAUCAAACCGGGAGAUAGCUGGUUCUCCCCGAAAGCUAUUUAGGUAGCGCCUCGUGAAUUCAUCUCCGGGGGUAGAGCACUGUUUCGGCUAGGGGGCCAUCCCGGCUUACCAACCCGAUGCAAACUGCGAAUACCGGAGAAUGUUAUCACGGGAGACACACGGCGGGUGCUAACGUCCGUCGUGAAGAGGGAAACAACCCAGACCGCCAGCUAAGGUCCCAAAGUCAUGGUUAAGUGGGAAACGAUGUGGGAAGGCCCAGACAGCCAGGAUGUUGGCUUAGAAGCAGCCAUCAUUUAAAGAAAGCGUAAUAGCUCACUGGUCGAGUCGGCCUGCGCGGAAGAUGUAACGGGGCUAAACCAUGCACCGAAGCUGCGGCAGCGACACUCAGGUGUUGUUGGGUAGGGGAGCGUUCUGUAAGCCUGUGAAGGUGUGUCGUGAGGCAUGCUGGAGGUAUCAGAAGUGCGAAUGCUGACAUAAGUAACGAUAAAGCGGGUGAAAAGCCCGCUCGCCGGAAGACCAAGGGUUCCUGUCCAACGUUAAUCGGGGCAGGGUGAGUCGACCCCUAAGGCGAGGCCGAAAGGCGUAGUCGAUGGGAAACGGGUUAAUAUUCCCGUACUUGGUGUUACUGCGAAGGGGGGACGGAGAAGGCUAUGUUGGCCGGGCGACGGUUGUCCCGGUUUAAGCGUGUAGGUGUGUGUUCCAGGUAAAUCCGGUUCACUUUAACACUGAGGCGUGACGACGAGGCACUACGGUGCUGAAGCAACAAAUGCCCUGCUUCCAGGAAAAGCCUCUAAGCAUCAGGUAACAUCAAAUCGUACCCCAAACCGACACAGGUGGUCAGGUAGAGAAUACCAAGGCGCUUGAGAGAACUCGGGUGAAGGAACUAGGCAAAAUGGUGCCGUAACUUCGGGAGAAGGCACGCUGACACGUAGGUGAAGUGAUUUACUCAUGGAGCUGAAGUCAGUCGAAGAUACCAGCUGGCUGCAACUGUUUAUUAAAAACACAGCACUGUGCAAACACGAAAGUGGACGUAUACGGUGUGACGCCUGCCCGGUGCCGGAAGGUUAAUUGAUGGGGUCAGCGCAAGCGAAGCUCCUGAUCGAAGCCCCGGUAAACGGCGGCCGUAACUAUAACGGUCCUAAGGUAGCGAAAUUCCUUGUCGGGUAAGUUCCGACCUGCACGAAUGGCGUAAUGAUGGCCAGGCUGUCUCCACCCGAGACUCAGUGAAAUUGAACUCGCUGUGAAGAUGCAGUGUACCCGCGGCAAGACGGAAAGACCCCGUGAACCUUUACUAUAGCUUGACACUGAACAUUGAGCCUUGAUGUGUAGGAUAGGUGGGAGGCUUUGAAGUGUGGACGCCAGUCUGCAUGGAGCCGACCUUGAAAUACCACCCUUUAAUGUUUGAUGUUCUAACGUGGACCCGUAAUCCGGGUUGCGGACAGUGUCUGGUGGGUAGUUUGACUGGGGCGGUCUCCUCCUAAAGAGUAACGGAGGAGCACGAAGGUUGGCUAAUCCUGGUCGGACAUCAGGAGGUUAGUGCAAUGGCAUAAGCCAGCUUGACUGCGAGCGUGACGGCGCGAGCAGGUGCGAAAGCAGGUCAUAGUGAUCCGGUGGUUCUGAAUGGAAGGGCCAUCGCUCAACGGAUAAAAGGUACUCCGGGGAUAACAGGCUGAUACCGCCCAAGAGUUCAUAUCGACGGCGGUGUUUGGCACCUCGAUGUCGGCUCAUCACAUCCUGGGGCUGAAGUAGGUCCCAAGGGUAUGGCUGUUCGCCAUUUAAAGUGGUACGCGAGCUGGGUUUAGAACGUCGUGAGACAGUUCGGUCCCUAUCUGCCGUGGGCGCUGGAGAACUGAGGGGGGCUGCUCCUAGUACGAGAGGACCGGAGUGGACGCAUCACUGGUGUUCGGGUUGUCAUGCCAAUGGCACUGCCCGGUAGCUAAAUGCGGAAGAGAUAAGUGCUGAAAGCAUCUAAGCACGAAACUUGCCCCGAGAUGAGUUCUCCCUGAGACUUUAGGUCUCCUGAAGGAACGUUGAAGACGACGACGUUGAUAGGCCGGGUGUGUAAGCGCAGCGAUGCGUUGAGCUAACCGGUACUAAUGAACCGUGAGGCUUAACCUU